UUGAGUAAAAUACUUUAAAUAAAAAUUUAUUUCCUAAUUUUCACAUAAAAUAUUUAUUUAUAUUCAUAGUUUUUCCGCGUGCGUUUUCAUUUAAAAUUAAAAUGGAUUUGGGUGUCACAAGGUAACAUGAAAUCGCAUUGUGGCAUACCAAGGACUGUGAAGUCUUGGACCCAUUGAGCGGGCCCCUAGCGAUAUAAUUUAAUGCAACUCACAUAUGGUAAACACAUGAUAUUAAAAUGGACAAGAAUUAACCACGGGCAUGUACUGAAAUAAAUCCCACACCUGAAUUUUGAACUUGAACUUGAAAGCUAACUUUGAGAAAUUCAAUCAAAAGUAACGUCCUAGUCACGCCGCACCUAGUCAGAUAAAUUCAAAAUAAUAAUACAUAAGGGGCCUAAUUGAACUUUUAAAAAUAAUAAUAAUAGUAGUUUAAAUCUUAAGAAUUUAUUAUCAUAAAAUCAUUUGGAAAAUAGUUGGUCUAAUGAAUCAAAAUAAUAAAAUGCAUAUUUCUUUAAAAUUUGAGUUGGGAUUUAAUAAAAUCAGGUCCAAUGCAAUAAUGAAAUUUAAAAUAUGAAGUUCAUAUGAUAUUUAAAAAGAGCCCAAUCAUUUAAUAAAAUUAAGCCCCAAUUAAAGCCCAUUUCCAAGCCCACUCUUCUUUCUUGCCCUAACUUAAAAGUCUUACACACACACCGUACAUCACAAACUCACGCAGCCCCCAUUUCCCUUCUCCCUCUCUCCCUCGGUCUCCCCUCCUGCCGCCGCCACCGGACGGCAGCGCCGUCGCCGGAGCCGGCGGCUCUGCCUCCUCUCCCUUCCCCCUUCUUCCUAUCUCCCUUCUUCCCUCAUCUCUCGCCCUCGCCUCUCAUCCCCCUCUGUCCUUCUCUUCGUCGCCUGCCAGUGCCACCGCCCCGUCCUCAACUCCUUCACCUCCUGGCCGACAGCAGCAGCAGGGCUGCCAUCGCCGCCCUCUAUGUUGACAGCAGCACCACCCCGCCACCCUCUCUCUCUGUCCGCCCGGAACAGCACGGCAGCGGCCGAGAGCACAGCGCCGCCGCCCCUGUCUUCUCUUCGCCGCCGCCUCUGCCAGCAGCAGCGCACAGUGGCGCCAUUCAAACACCUCCCUCCUCCUCCGUAUUCCAGGCUCAACAUAAAACAAACCCACCUAAACCUACUUCUAUUUCUUCUCUGUUAUUCUAAAUUUUCUGUAAAUUAAUGAAAAUGCUAUUCUUGGAUUGUAGGGCUUUUGAUUCUUUUGAAAAUUUGGGAAUUUACAAAGAAAACAGAAAUUAUUGCAUAUGAGUAUUAAACUUACAGAAAAUAUUAAAAGUACCGAUUGGUGAUGUGCAGUGAGAAAUGGCAGAUUGAGUUUAUAUGGUGAAGUGAACAGAUGAGGAGUGAAUUGCUGGUAUACAAAUUCGGGUGAUUUGAGUUUAAAUAGGACUAAAUUCUUGGGCUGCACGAAAUAGUUUUCUACUAGACUAAAUAAACUUGUUCUUGAAGCUCACGAAAUUUAUAAACAAACCAUACUUG
This 1530-nucleotide long non-coding RNA is filed under the name Salvia miltiorrhiza (redroot sage). RNAcentral describes it as "long non-coding RNA (SMIL_LNC009151)". Lineage: Eukaryota; Viridiplantae; Streptophyta; Magnoliopsida; Lamiales; Lamiaceae. The record is from RNAcentral.